CGUCCCACAUGUUUCAUCAAGUGUCAGAUAAUACAGAACCUACUUCGCCAAAAUGAAGAAAAUUGAGGUCAGUAUAAAUUCCAAACACACCAUCAAACCAUCAUCUUCCUCUACACCACUACAGCCUUACAAGCUUACCCUCCUGGACCAGCUCACUCCUCCAACGUAUGUCCCUAUGGUAUUCUUCUACCCCAUUACUGACCAUGUCUUCAAUCUUCCUCAAACCCUAGCAGACUUAAGACAAGCCCUUUCCGAGACUCUCACUUUGUACUAUCCACUCUCUGGAAGGGUCAAAAACAACCUAUACAUCGAUGAUUUUGAAGAGGGUAUCCCAUACCUUGAGGCUCGAGUGAAUUGUGACAUGACUGAUUUUCUAAGGCUUCGGAAAAUCGAGUGCCUAAAUGAGUUUGUUCCAAUAAAAACAUUUAGUAUGGAAGCAAUAUCUGAUGAGCGUUACCCCUUGCUUGGAGUUCAAGUCAACAUUUUGGACUCUGGAAUAGCAAUCGGUGUCUUCAUCUCUCACAAGCUCAUCGAUGGAAGAACGGCAUACUGUUUUCUCAAGUCCUGGGGUGCUGUUUUUCGAGGGUGUCGUGAAGAUGUCAUACAUCCUAGUCUCUCUGAAGCAGCAUUGCUUUUCCCACCGAGAGAUGACUUGCCUGAAAAGUAUGCCGGUCAGAUGGAAGGGUUAUGGUUUGCCGGAAAGAAUGUUGCUACAAGGAGAUUUGUAUUUGGUGCGAAAGUCAUAUCUUCAAUUCAAGAUGAAGCGAAGAGCGAGUCCGUGCCCAAGCCAUCACGAGUUCAGGCCGUCACUGGUUUUCUCUGGAAACAUCUAAUCGCUGCUUCUCGGGCACUAACAUCAGGUAAAAUCAGUUUAUCAACAAGCCAAAUAAUAAAGCCUAAUGUAUUUGGGGUACUUAUUUAUAUAUUUUUAUUACGUAUAUCUAGUGUACUGUGUACAUAGCUCAAAGAAUGAGAAAAUAUAUGAACUUGCAGGUACUACUUCAACAAAACUUUCUAUAGCAGCCCAGGCAGUGAACAUAAGAUCACGGAUGAACAUGGAGACGGUGUUGGAUAAUGCCACUGGAAACUUGAUGUGGUGGGCACCGGCCAUACUACAGCCAAGUCAUACAACACCAGAGAUUAGUGAUCUUAAGCUGUGUGACUUGGUUAACUUGCUCAAUGGAUCUGUCAAACAAUGUAACGGUGAUUACUUUGAGACUUUCAAGGGUAAAGAGGGAUAUGGAAGAAUGUGUGAGUAUCUAGAUUUUCAGAGGACUAUGAGUUCUAUGGAACCAGCACCAGAGAUUUAUUUAUUCUCGAGCUGGACUAAUUUUUUCAAUGCACUUGAUUUUGGAUGGGGGAGGACAUCAUGGAUUGGAGUUACGGGAAAAAUUGAAUCUGCAUUUUGCAAUUCCACAAUGUUGGUUCCAACACAAUGCGAUAAUGGAAUUGAAGCAUGGGUGAAUCUAGAAGAAGAGAAAAUGGCUAUGCUAGAACAAGAUCCCCAGUUUCUAGCGGUAGCAUCUCCAAACCCCCCAAUUUCAAGGUGUUGAUUAAAAAAGAUUAUGUGGCUCGUGCAAUGUUUCGAUUUUGUAGUGAAUAAGGUUUAAAUUAGUUCACCAGCCAAUCAAUAAGAUGCAAGUAUGAUAGACUCUGUCUACGUAUGUUAUCCGAAUGUGUUUUCGAUAUGCUUGUAACCAAUAUAGCUCUUGUUUGUAAUAAUGCUCUGUUAAGCUUCUAUCUAUAAAGUUAUUUCUCUUGAUUAAAGAAAAAACUAUACAAGUUUUGUUAAGCUUUAUUCUAUUUUUAAGAUAGGAUGUAUGUAGUACCUAUAAAGAUGGUUCACCUAUUAUUAUUUUCAAAUACAUGAUUAUCCGGUACAAUUACGUAGAAUAUUUCUAUAGCUAAAAAAAUGUAAUUUUGAUCCGUGACAACAUGAUUAAAAAAUUACAUAUUCUGAUACAUUUGUUCUCUAACGACAAGCAUGGCCAUAAUGCCUCACCUGAUCAUCUAUGUGAUGGGGUAGUGUCCUUUCUUUUUAAGAGAAGGUAGGCACCUAAUGUGAAGGCCUCUACGAGAGACUAAUAUUGUCUGAUCUUCUUUUGUUCAUCAAAUUAAAGAAACGAAAAUGGCCACAAUGCCUCACUAUUGAUAGAAGAUAGAACCAUACAAUAAUUUGGAACAUAUGCAUGGAGACAAGGAAAUAUAACACAAUAAAACCAUUAUAAUUUCACUUUAUGUGGGAAACUUGGCCAAAACCGAAUCACAUCCACGUUGGCAACAAAAAGUGACUGGAAAAAAAGAGCCCCCAAAAAGCUAAAACACUAUAAAAACCAGAAAACUUGAAUAAGCGAAAAACCAAAAGUAUGACAUUUACACACACACUCUAUCUCUCUCUCAAAGUCUGAAAACUUGCGCAAUAAGGUACCUAGCUCUCUGGUCUUUUCUUUCUAAUGCAUAUAAGUCCCUGUAAAUUUUAUGGCUUUUGGAAUGAUGAUUUUAUGCUUGUGGAUCUCAGAUGGGUUUGUUUUGUUUUGGGAUUUUUAUAAAUGAAUCCAUUGAAAAUGUUGAAAGCUUAUGCCUUUGUUCCUUGGUUCACUGUUCUGGUUUUGUAAAUUGUGUGUACGAGAGUUGAAAUGUUGGUUUUGGUAAAGAGAAAUGUUCUAUAACCAUGUAAGUUAUCUUCUAAAGUUGUUCGAGUACUGCAUAGGAAAUAACGACCUAAACUGCUAGAUGCUCUGAGAAACUUAAUUAUCCGAUUCGUUGUGAUAAAUUAAUAGAACCAUCAAUAGCCGUGAUAGUCCCUUAAUAUUUGGUGGCUAAUUAGCAAUGCAUUCAUGGUAGUUGCAUGUGCUUAUUUUGUGCAGUAUUCUAAUUCUAUCACUUGCAAAAUCGUUGUGGAAGGUCAAGAGGAGAAAACUGAAAAUGGGGCAGCAUGCAUCUCAUUUUAUUUUUUUAUGCAAUAGAGCCCUAUAUAUAAAAUAAAUAAUGUAUCUAUAACCUUCUCUAAUUAAUUUACUUAGUAAUUGACGCAAUUUGGCCGAACUGUUUCUAAACACACUAAGCUUCAGUUCUAUAUAUACCACGUACCACAUGUAUGAAUUCAUCAAGUGUCUGAUAAUACUAAACCUACUUCGACAAAAUGGAGAAAAUUGAGGUCAGUAUAAUUUCCAAACACACCAUCAAACCAUCAGCUUCCACUCCACGACUUCAGCCUUACAAGCUUACCCUCCUGGACCAGCUCACUCCUGCAAUGUAUGUCCCCAUGGUAUUCUUCUACCCCAUUACUGAUCCUGUCUUCAAUCUUCCUCAAACCCUAGCUGACUUAAGACAAGCCCUUUCCGAGACUCUCACUUUGUACUAUCCACUCUCUGGAAGGGUAAAAAACAACCUAUACAUCGAUGAUUUUGAAGAGGGUGUCCCAUACCUUGAGGCUCGAGUGAAUUGUGACAUAACUGAUUUCCUAAUGCUUCGGAAAAUCGAGUGC
This 3487-nucleotide long non-coding RNA is filed under the name Fragaria vesca (wild strawberry). RNAcentral describes it as "long non-coding RNA (FVES_LNC003773)". The record is from RNAcentral. Lineage: Eukaryota; Viridiplantae; Streptophyta; Magnoliopsida; Rosales; Rosaceae.